RNAcentral lists this long non-coding RNA (203 nucleotides) under Oryza brachyantha (malo sina). Its description in RNAcentral is "long non-coding RNA (OBRA_LNC001634)". The record is from RNAcentral. Lineage: Eukaryota; Viridiplantae; Streptophyta; Magnoliopsida; Poales; Poaceae.
UACGGUGCUGCUUUUAUAGAAGGUGUUCCUAGUUUCCUACGGAUUAAUUCAGGAAAUUAGCCUUUUGAUCGGUAUGCCUAUAUUCUUCUUGUUGUCCUAAACAAUAUGGUUCAGUACUCAGUGGUUUUGUUAAUGAUUUAGGUUUAAUGGUUCUUGAGCUGGAUUGAUGACCAGGCGGAUCUGUUUGCAACUCAUAUAGAAAC